This 64-nucleotide transfer RNA is filed under the name Pteria penguin. RNAcentral describes it as "tRNA-Lys". Lineage: Eukaryota; Metazoa; Mollusca; Bivalvia; Pterioida; Pteriidae. The record is from RNAcentral.
GCUGGGGUAGCUUAAUUUAGAGCGAUGAAUUUUUGAUUCAAGAGGUGUCGUAGGAUUCUCAGUU